RNAcentral lists this ribosomal RNA (252 nucleotides) under uncultured bacterium. Its description in RNAcentral is "partial 16S ribosomal RNA". It matches the Rfam family "Bacterial small subunit ribosomal RNA", at positions 525 to 776 of the family's 1533-position model. The record is from RNAcentral.
ACGAAGGGGGCUAGCGUUGUUCGGAAUCACUGGGCGUAAAGGGCGCGUAGGCGGCCGAUCAAGUCGGGGGUGAAAGCCUGUGGCUUAACCACAGAAUGGCCUUCGAUACUGUUUGGCUUGAGACCGGAAGAGGUUAGUGGAACUGCGAGUGUAGAGGUGAAAUUCGUAGAUAUUCGCAAGAACACCAGUGGCGAAGGCGGCUGACUGGUCCGGUUCUGACGCUGAGGCGCGAAAGCGUGGGGAGCAAACAGG